UACGGGGGGGGCAAGCGUUGUUCGGAAUUACUGGGCGUAAAGGGCUCGUAGGCGGCCAACUAAGUCAGACGUGAAAUCCCCAGGCUCAACCUGGGAACUGCGUCUGAUACUGGAUGGCUUGAAUCCGGGAGAGGGAUGCAGAAUUCCAGGUGUAGCGGUGAAAUGCGUAGAUAUCUGGAGGAAUACCGGUGGCGAAGGCGGCAUCCUGGGACGUGACUGACGCUGAGACGCGAAAGCGUGGGGAGCAAACAGG
RNAcentral lists this ribosomal RNA (253 nucleotides) under uncultured bacterium. Its description in RNAcentral is "partial 16S ribosomal RNA". It matches the Rfam family "Bacterial small subunit ribosomal RNA", at positions 524 to 776 of the family's 1533-position model. The record is from RNAcentral.